RNAcentral lists this ribosomal RNA (501 nucleotides) under uncultured bacterium. RNAcentral's name for it is "partial 16S ribosomal RNA". It matches the Rfam family "Bacterial small subunit ribosomal RNA", at positions 30 to 523 of the family's 1533-position model. The record is from RNAcentral.
AUUGAACGCUGGCGGCAGGCUUAACACAUGCAAGUCGAGCGGAGAUGAGGUGCUUGCACCUUAUCUUAGCGGCGGACGGGUGAGUAAUGCUUAGGAAUCUGCCUAUUAGUGGGGGACAACAUUCCGAAAGGAAUGCUAAUACCGCAUACGUCCUACGAGAGAAAGCAGGGUAUCUUCGGACCUUGCGCUAAUAGAUGAGCCUAAGUCGGAUUAGCUAGUUGGUGGGGUAAAGGCCUACCAAGGCGACGAUCUGUAGCGGGUCUGAGAGGAUGAUCCGCCACACUGGGACUGAGACACGGCCCAGACUCCUACGGGAGGCAGCAGUGGGGAAUAUUGGACAAUGGGGGGAACCCUGAUCCAGCUAUGCCGCGUGUGUGAAGAAGGCCUUAUGGUUGUAAAGCACUUUAAGCGAGGAGGAGGCUACUGAGACUAAUACUCUUGGAUAGUGGACGUUACUCGCAGAAUAAGCACCGGCUAACUCUGUGCCAGCCGCCGUAGUAA